Molecule: long non-coding RNA, 959 nt
Organism: Brassica napus (rape)
Lineage: Eukaryota; Viridiplantae; Streptophyta; Magnoliopsida; Brassicales; Brassicaceae
Exons: 6
Source: RefSeq, a predicted model, not a curated record
GUCUCUGAUGAUUGCUGGUUGGUUUGCAUAUUAUUUGCAAAAGAUUCUUCAGAUAUAAUUGGUGAGCUAAGUGCAAUCAGGAGCACAAUCACCGACAUUAUACCGGGGGCCCAACAUGUAAUGCUAACUCUGGGUCUAUAAAGGGAUGUAAAUGUUUGUGUUUGUAUGUUUGAUUCUUUGGCUCUUGCAUUUCAUAAAUAUUUGAUAGCUACAAGAAAGAGCCUAAAAUUGUGCGUUCCACCAGCAUCAAUCCUAAGAUUGUUGGGGGCCGGUUAUUUCUGAACGCCUCUUCUGGCGCAUAUAUCUACUUUGAUUCUGAGACACCUGCACGAAAAGAAGAGUUUGACAAAUUGACAGGCGAUGGUACAUACCAGACAACGUCUUCAUCAAAGCUGGUUCAUGCCCAAAAGGUUGAACCUCUAACUGUUGCUGAGCUUAACCAAUAUGUUAUUAUUGCUGAUCCUCAGGUAAUUGAGUAUGGCUAAAGUGACCGGAAUUCAGCAAGAUUAGGGUUGGUGUUAUAUUGGCUGCUCCGGAUGUUCAAAGAAACUUUUACGAGAGAUAUCUUCCUUCCACUACAAGAAAACACAGUUUUAGCAAGGAAAUUUAACGAGGAAAACUAAUCCUCGUGAAAUUACGUUGACUUAACGAUGAAAUUGCGAGGAAAUAAAGUUUCCUCGUAACAGCCUUGUAAAAUACCGAGUAAAGCGAUUCCUCGUAAAAUCGUCGUAAGUUGACGUGGUUAUUUCGAGAAAAAUAUGUUUCGUCGCAAAUUCGUCGUAAGAUUAGCAUGAUUUUUACGAGGAAAUAACUUACGAGGAAAGAACGAGAAAUCCACCAACUUAACACGUUUUUUUUGCAACCAACCUAAUAUUUCGUCGUAAAUUCCUAGCAAAAUUCAACUACCAGAUUCGAAAAUUUUCUAUAAAUAUGGAGGUUUGAACAUAAUUUUAAGCACA